UCAAACUUGGUCAUUUAGAGGAAGUAAAAGUCGUAACAAGGUCUCCGUAGGUGAACCUGCGGAGGGAUCAUUACCGAGUUCGUGCCCCCCUCGCGGGGGUAGAUCUCCCACCCUUUGUGUAUCUGUGUUCGUGUUGCUUUGGCAGGCCGUGGGCCCUGUUCACCACCGGCUCCCGGGCUGGUGUGCGCCUGCCAGAGGACCUUUUCCAAUUCUGUUUGUCAGUGUCGUCUGAGUGAACCAAAAAAACAAUCGUUAAAACUUUCAACAACGGAUCUCUUGGUUCUGGCAUCGAUGAAGAACGCAGC
This 305-nucleotide unclassified non-coding RNA is filed under the name uncultured fungus. RNAcentral describes it as "partial contains small subunit ribosomal RNA, internal transcribed spacer 1, and 5.8S ribosomal RNA". The stretch from base 1 to 73 matches the Rfam family "Eukaryotic small subunit ribosomal RNA", at positions 1759 to 1831 of the family's 1831-position model. Lineage: Eukaryota; Fungi. The record is from RNAcentral.